AUGGAAUAUCAGCCCAUCAUAUCCGCUCUUGACGUGCGUGUUGAUCCUGUCUCCACCGAUGAACUCUUUGGCAUGAUCUCCAACUUUGAUCAACGCGUCGAGCUGUUCCAAGGAACUGGUCCCGGCGCUUUCAAGUCCUCUGCUAAUGCCGCCUAUCAUGGUCGC
RNAcentral lists this ribosomal RNA (165 nucleotides) under Triticum aestivum (bread wheat). Its description in RNAcentral is "partial small subunit ribosomal RNA". Lineage: Eukaryota; Viridiplantae; Streptophyta; Magnoliopsida; Poales; Poaceae. The record is from RNAcentral.